RNAcentral lists this ribosomal RNA (862 nucleotides) under uncultured Staphylococcus sp. RNAcentral describes it as "bacterial SSU rRNA". It matches the Rfam family "Bacterial small subunit ribosomal RNA", at positions 31 to 875 of the family's 1533-position model. The record is from RNAcentral. Lineage: Bacteria; Bacillati; Bacillota; Bacilli; Caryophanales; Staphylococcaceae.
GAACGCUGGCGGCGUGCUAAUACAUGCAAGUCGAGCGAACAGACGAGGAGCUUGCUCCUCUGACGUUAGCGGCGGACGGGUGAGUAACACGUGGAUAACCUACCUAUAAGACUGGGAUAACUUCGGGAAACCGGAGCUAAUACCGGAUAAUAUAUUGAACCGCAUGGUUCAAUAGUGAAAGACGGUUUUGCUGUCACUUAUAGAUGGAUCCGCGCCGCAUUAGCUAGUUGGUAAGGUAACGGCUUACCAAGGCGACGAUGCGUAGCCGACCUGAGAGGGUGAUCGGCCACACUGGAACUGAGACACGGUCCAGACUCCUACGGGAGGCAGCAGUAGGGAAUCUUCCGCAAUGGGCGAAAGCCUGACGGAGCAACGCCGCGUGAGUGAUGAAGGUCUUCGGAUCGUAAAACUCUGUUAUUAGGGAAGAACAAAUGUGUAAGUAACUAUGCACGUCUUGACGGUACCUAAUCAGAAAGCCACGGCUAACUACGUGCCAGCAGCCGCGGUAAUACGUAGGUGGCAAGCGUUAUCCGGAAUUAUUGGGCGUAAAGCGCGCGUAGGCGGUUUUUUAAGUCUGAUGUGAAAGCCCACGGCUCAGCCGUGGAGGGUCAUUGGAAACUGGAAAACUUGAGUGCAGAAGAGGAAAGUGGAAUUCCAUGUGUAGCGGUGAAAUGCGCAGAGAUAUGGAGGAACACCAGUGGCGAAGGCGACUUUCUGGUCUGUAACUGACGCUGAUGUGCGAAAGCGUGGGGAUCAAACAGGAUUAGAUACCCUGGUAGUCCACGCCGUAAACGAUGAGUGCUAAGUGUUAGGGGGUUUCCGCCCCUUAGUGCCGCAGCUAACGCAUUAAGCACUCCGCCUG